GUGAGAGUAAACUAAAAAAGUUAUUAGGUUCAUACCCUGAGUAUAGAGUUUGUUCUCUCUCUCAUU
This 66-nucleotide transfer RNA is filed under the name Marcia japonica. Its description in RNAcentral is "tRNA-Met". The record is from RNAcentral. Lineage: Eukaryota; Metazoa; Mollusca; Bivalvia; Venerida; Veneridae.